UUUUUUUUUUUUAGAUGGAGUCUCGCUCUGUUGCCCAGGCUGGAGUGCAGUGGCGCAGUCUUGGCUUGCUGCAAACUCCACCUCCUGGGUUCAAGUGAUUCUCCUGCCUCAGCCACCUGAGUAACAGGCAACUGCCACCAUGCUUGGCUAAUUUUUUGUGUUUUUAGUAGAGAUGGGGUUUCACCAUGUUGGCCAGGGUGGUCUCAAACUCCUGACCUCAUGAUCCACCCGCCUCAGCUUCUCAACGCACUGGGAUUACAGGCAUGAGCCACUGCACCAGGCCUGUAAAAUAAAUUUUUAAAAAUCACUUGUGAUUUUCUGCACUGCAGCCUGUCUAAUAGAGCCUUAAUAACUGGGGAGUAAGUGACUUCAGCACAUCUCCUAAAUGUGACAGGAACCAGGAACACAUCUGACCUUAUGCACGUUAAUACUGCCUCUUUUUAAGCAUUUUUUCAACACUUAUAUUCUGGGACUAAAAAAAUCAAGAUGUGCUCCUCUACUAAAAUCUCCACCAUCCAAUUGGAAUUGCAGUCUAGAAAAUCUAAGGAAAAGUGAGGGCCAUAUUCUGAAGAACAACUAGGUCUCAGCAGUUACAUACUCUUCACCAAAAUACUGUUUGAUCCUCAUCCUGAGAGCAUAUUUUUAAAAAUCUCCAGAGCUCACCACUCAUUAAUAACCCAACAGUUUUACCAAGACUGUGGGUUACAGCAAAGAUGCCUCUGCUGUGUCCUUGCUCUCUGCAAGCUUUUUACCAGGUGCUGGGCUGGAGACUUGCUGGGUGCCAGACCACAGGGAUCUGGUCAUAGCUGAAUGUGAAGAUGGCUGGCUGUUCUUUCAGAAGGAACCUGGCUGGAGUUCCUAUUGCUCAAAGCUCCAGCUUGCAGCAUUGGGCUAGAGCUGAUGGAAGGAGAGCUGUUACCAUUCUGUUCCACAUGAAUGCUACAUUGUGAAAGAAAGAUCUGACUUGGGCAACAAGGUAGUGUUCAAGGCGUCUCAGAGGGCCUAACCAGAACUCACCAGCUGUAGCGUAGAACUCCCUCAAGUGCAGAUGCUGGACCUCUGCAGCAGAAAUUUCUCAAGCUGUUUAGUAUAACAGAAAUGAAAAUUCCCCAUCCCAUCCUUAACCUAUUAUCCUCAGAUAGCUCAGGGCAGGGGAAGGGAGUAGACAGAAACCCGAUUUUAAAACCAACUCUAGAAUAACUGAUGUCUGCAAGUUGGAGAACUGAUGUGCAGGACAUGAUCCACAUGCCUCCUCAUAAAACACCCGGAGAGGCAGCUAUUGUGGAUCAAGACUCCUGUCCUUAGUCUUCACCAAGCAGCACAGGCAGUGGAACAGAAGCUUCAGGUUUGUCUUCACUGGUCGAACUGUGACAUCCAGAGGACAGGAAUCAUGUCUGCUCUUCACUGAUGCUCCUCAUUCCCAGGGCCACACGACACAGAAAGUGUCGGCUGUAAGCAGAGCCAGGCUAGUAGCAGCCAGGAAUAGGUCAGCCACCUAGGUAAAUGAUGCCUAGUUGGUCUUCUUGGAGAUCUCAGCCAUCCUCAUAACCUUUCAAGAACUCAUUCAUGUGAAAAACUGCAGAACGUCCUGCUUACCUGCAAUUACUAAAUCCAGUGAGGUUCCGAUGCCCCCAGUCUAGAAUUGUACCUUCCCCCUAAAUCCUGCUGGGAGUCUCAGGAGAGGGUGUGAUAUGCCUAAGGUACUCUCUGUGAUGUUGUGCAUGGCGAACACUUGUUUCUGGUGACUGUGGUCACACAGGAAUCGUUACCCACUUGACACGACAGGAGAAAACAGGUCAAAGAUUAACUGGCAGCCACAUAGUUCAUAUGUGUGGUAAUGUGGGGGGAAGGGUAGCACGCAGAUAAAUUAUCUGCCCAAGUGCAUGCUGAGUGGAUGCAGAUCACCGGCCCAGCACCUGGGGGCAGGGCUUUAAACCCUGGACUAAAUCCACUCCUUAGGCUCCGGGAUAUCUGCUGGCAGGUGCACUGAGGUUGUACACAGCACGUGUGUUUGAUGAUGCAGUCCAAUUGGGAAGUGGAUAAAGUGUGUUUAUUUUCUUCUGUGUAUGUUUUUGUAAACAGGGAAAAGGAAGCAAAAGACUCCUUCCUUCCGGACCUGGUGUCCACUGAGCUUGGAGUGGGUGGAGCCCCCUAGGAGAAGUUGUAGGAAUAGAAGGCAAUGGGAUUGACUAUCAUGGAUAGUAGUCCAUGACGAAGUGGAGCCCGAUGCACCUGGCCCCUAGGCUGGCCCCACCCAGAGCAGAGGAGUGCCUCAGCUUCAUCAGGGUGAAGCUGCAGAAGAAGUUCUGAACCUGGAUCUCUUUGCCCUGGUUCAGCACCAAAGAAAACCUGGAAGGCUUUCCCCUUCCACCGUGACUGUAAGUUUCCUGAGGCCUCCCCAGCCAUGCUUCCCAUAUAGCCUGCAGAACCACGAGCCAAUUAAACCUCUUUCCUUUAUAAAUUAGCCAGUUUCAGGUGUUUC
RNAcentral lists this long non-coding RNA (2482 nucleotides) under Macaca fascicularis (crab-eating macaque). Its description in RNAcentral is "lncRNA (ENSMFAG00000053868.1)". The record is from RNAcentral. Lineage: Eukaryota; Metazoa; Chordata; Mammalia; Primates; Cercopithecidae.